AUUGAACGCUGGCGGCAUGCCUUACACAUGCAAGUCGAACGGUAACAGGUCUUCGGAUGCUGACGAGUGGCGAACGGGUGAGUAAUACAUCGGAACGUGCCUAGUAGUGGGGGAUAACUACUCGAAAGAGUGGCUAAUACCGCAUGAGAUCUACGGAUGAAAGCAGGGGAUCGCAAGACCUUGUGCUACUAGAGCGGCCGAUGGCAGAUUAGGUAGUUGGUGGGAUAAAAGCUUACCAAGCCGACGAUCUGUAGCUGGUCUGAGAGGACGAUCAGCCACACUGGGACUGAGACACGGCCCAGACUCCUACGGGAGGCAGCAGUGGGGAAUGUUGGACAAUGGGCGCAAGCCUGAUCCAGCAAUGCCGCGUGCAGGAUGAAGGCCUUCGGGUUGUAAACUGCUUUUGUACGGAACGAAAAGCUCUGGGUUAAUACCCUGGGGUCAUGACGGUACCGUAAGAAUAAGCACCGGCUAACUACGUGCCAGCCGCCGCAGUAA
This 498-nucleotide ribosomal RNA is filed under the name uncultured bacterium. Its description in RNAcentral is "partial 16S ribosomal RNA". It matches the Rfam family "Bacterial small subunit ribosomal RNA", at positions 30 to 523 of the family's 1533-position model. The record is from RNAcentral.